This 691-nucleotide ribosomal RNA is filed under the name uncultured euryarchaeote. RNAcentral describes it as "bacterial SSU rRNA". It matches the Rfam family "Archaeal small subunit ribosomal RNA", at positions 162 to 859 of the family's 1478-position model. Lineage: Archaea; Methanobacteriati; Methanobacteriota. The record is from RNAcentral.
AGGUGCUUUGGAAUAAGCUCUUCUAAAAACGUAAGGCCAAAGGAUAGGACGGCGGCGGAUUAGGUAGUUGGUGAGGUAACGGCUCACCAAGCCCGAGAUCCGUAGGGGUCCUGAAAGGGAGAGCCCCCAGAAGGGCACUGAGAUACUGGCCCUAGCCCUACGGGGUGCAGCAGGCGCGAAAACUUUCCAAUGCACGCAAGUGUGAGAAGGGAAUCCCGAGUGCUUAUACACAGUAUAGGCUUUUGCCAAGGGUAAAUACCUUGGAGAAUAAGUGGUGGGCAAUACCUGUGCCAGCCGCCGCGGUAACCCAGGAACCACAAGUGGCAACCGCUUUUAUUGGGCCUAAAGCGUCCGUAGCCGGAUCUGUAAAUCUUCUGUGAAAUUCUUCGGCUUAGCCGAAGAGCUGCAGGAGACACUACAUUUCUAGGGACCGGGAGGCGUGAGGGGUAUUUCGGGGGGAGCGGUAAAAUGUUAUAAUCCUCGAAGGACCACCUGUGGCGAAGGCGCCUCACGAGAACGGAUCCGACGGUGAGUGACGAAAGCUAGGGGAGCAAAACGGAUUAGAUACCCGAGUAGUCCUAGCCGUAAACGCUGCAAACUAGGUGUCGCACAAUCUUCGGGAUUGUGCGGUGUCGUAAUGAAGAUGUUAAGUUUGCCGCCUGGGAAGUAUGGUCGCAAGGCUGAAACUUAA